This 253-nucleotide ribosomal RNA is filed under the name uncultured bacterium. RNAcentral's name for it is "partial 16S ribosomal RNA". It matches the Rfam family "Bacterial small subunit ribosomal RNA", at positions 524 to 776 of the family's 1533-position model. The record is from RNAcentral.
UACAGAGGGGGCAAGCGUUGUUCGGAAUUACUGGGCGUAAAGGGCGCGUAGGCGGCCUGCUAAGUCGAACGUGAAAUCCCCGAGCUCAACUCGGGAACUGCGUCCGAUACUGGUGGGCUUGAAUCCGGGAGAGGGAUGCGGAAUUCCAGGUGUAGCGGUGAAAUGCGUAGAUAUCUGGAGGAACACCGGUGGCGAAGGCGGCAUCCUGGACCGGCAUUGACGCUGAGGCGCGAAAGCUAGGGGAGCAAACGGG